RNAcentral lists this ribosomal RNA (458 nucleotides) under uncultured bacterium. RNAcentral's name for it is "partial 16S ribosomal RNA". It matches the Rfam family "Bacterial small subunit ribosomal RNA", at positions 28 to 507 of the family's 1533-position model. The record is from RNAcentral.
GACGAACGCUGGCGGCGUGCUUCAUACAUGCAAGUCGAACGAGAAGCUGACUUCGGUCAGUGGAAAGUGGCGGACGGGUGAGUAAUAUGUAGGAAAUCUGCCUUUAGGAGGGGGACAACAGAGGGAAACUUCUGCUAAUACCCCAUAUGAGCGUAGCUGAAAUGCUAUUCUUGAAAACUCCGGUGCCUAAAGAUGAGCCUGCAUCUGAUUAGCUAGUUGGUAGUGUAAUGGACUACCAAGGCGACGAUCAGUAGCUGGUUUGAGAGGAUGAUCAGCCACAAUGGGACUGAGACACGGCCCAUACUCCUACGGGAGGCAGCAGUAGGGAAUUUUGCGCAAUGGGCGAAAGCCGGACGCAGCAACGCCGCGUGAACGAUUAAGCCCUUCGGGGUGUAAAGUUCUGUCAGUGGGGACGAAACUUGACGGUACCCACAGAGGAAGCACCGGCUAACUCCGUG